Hibiscus syriacus is the source of this 493-nucleotide long non-coding RNA. RefSeq lists it as uncharacterized. Lineage: Eukaryota; Viridiplantae; Streptophyta; Magnoliopsida; Malvales; Malvaceae. The record is from RefSeq and is a predicted model, not a curated record. The transcript is spliced from 3 exons.
AUCAAGGGAAGAUAAGAUAUUGGAAUGGACUAGUGAGGCAAGGUAAUAUGAAAGAACUCAGAUGAAGAUGCUUAUAACUCAGAGGACGAAUUCUAUUGCGAUGUUUGCGAGGAGAAGAGACACAAAAGGGAGCCGGUUUAUUAUUGUGCAUCGUGCAAAUUUGUCGCUGAACUUAAGUGCGUCAUCCCAGCGGUGUUGCCAUUAAUUCCCAAGAGAGAACACAUUCAAGAAGAUGGUCCCGGCUCUUCUGAUGAUGACAGUGAUGAUGAUGAUCGCUCACCCUAUCGCAAAGCCUUAUACGAGCUCAUAGAAUUAGAGAAAAAGAAGAAUAAAGCCAAAAAGUCACCCUGGAAAAUUAGCAGAGCCUUGUAUCAGCUCAGAAAAUUAGAACAGAUGAAAAAUGAAUUAAAACAACUCCUGGAUGAUGUGACGACAGAGAUACAGGAAACAAGAAGUAGCAUUUACAAGAAAAAAGGAUAAUAUGUUGUAAUGA